CAGGAUGAACGCUAGCUACAGGCUUAACACAUGCAAGUCGAGGGGCAGCAUUGGAGUAGCAAUACUCAGAUGGCGACCGGCGCACGGGUGAGUAACACGUAUCCAACCUGCCGCUUACUCGGGGAUAGCCUUUCGAAAGAAAGAUUAAUACCCGAUGGUAUAAAGAGUUCGCAUGUUCUCUUUAUUAAAGAAUUUCGGUAAGCGAUGGGGAUGCGUUCCAUUAGAUAGUUGGCGGGGUAACGGCCCACCAAGUCUACGAUGGAUAGGGGUUCUGAGAGGAAGGUCCCCCACAUUGGAACUGAGACACGGUCCAAACUCCUACGGGAGGCAGCAGUGAGGAAUAUUGGUCAAUGGACGAGAGUCUGAACCAGCCAAAAGUAGCGUGAAGGAUGACUGCCCUAUGGGUUGUAAACUUCUUUUAUAAGGGAAUAAAGUGAGGGACGUGUCCCUUUUUGUAUGUACCUUAUGAAUAAGGAUCGGCUAACUCCGUGCCAGCCGCCGC
This 502-nucleotide ribosomal RNA is filed under the name uncultured bacterium. RNAcentral describes it as "bacterial SSU rRNA". It matches the Rfam family "Bacterial small subunit ribosomal RNA", at positions 25 to 518 of the family's 1533-position model. The record is from RNAcentral.